GAUGAACGCUAGCGGCAGGCCUAAUACAUGCAAGUCGAACGAGAUUAUGAGGUAAGCUUGCUUAUCUUAUAUGACAGUGGCGCACGGGUGCGUAACGCGUAUGCAAUCUACCUUCAUCAGGGGGAUAGCCUCUCGAAAGAGAGAUUAAUACCGCAUAAAAUUAUUUAACGGCAUCGUUGAAUAAUCAAACAUUUAUGGGAUGAAGAUGAGCAUGCGUGACAUUAGCUAGUUGGUGAGGUAACGGCUCACC
This 250-nucleotide ribosomal RNA is filed under the name uncultured bacterium. RNAcentral describes it as "partial 16S ribosomal RNA". It matches the Rfam family "Bacterial small subunit ribosomal RNA", at positions 28 to 269 of the family's 1533-position model. The record is from RNAcentral.